GUCCCAGUUCGGAUUGCAGGCUGCAACCCGCCUGCAUGAAGUUGGAAUCGCUAGUAAUCGCGGAUCAGCAUGCCGCGGUGAAUACGUUCCCGGGCCUUGUACACACCGCCCGUCACACCAUGAGAGUCGGGAACACCCGAAGUCCGUAGCCUAACCGCGAAGGGGGCGCGGCGAAGGUGGGUUCGAUAAUUGGGGUGAAGUCGUAACAAGGUACC
This 215-nucleotide ribosomal RNA is filed under the name uncultured bacterium. RNAcentral's name for it is "partial 16S ribosomal RNA". It matches the Rfam family "Bacterial small subunit ribosomal RNA", at positions 1285 to 1500 of the family's 1533-position model. The record is from RNAcentral.